AAGGUUUUAAGUUAAACUAAACUAAUAGCCUUCAAAGCUAUAAAUAAAGACUACUUCUUUAAGCCUUA
Molecule: transfer RNA, 68 nt
Filed under: Asiablatta kyotensis
Lineage: Eukaryota; Metazoa; Arthropoda; Insecta; Blattodea; Blattellidae
Description: tRNA-Trp
Source: RNAcentral